GCAGUGACUGUAUAGUGGUUAGCACUCUGUGUUGUGGCCACAGCAACCAUGGUUCAAAUCUGAGUCAUGACA
Molecule: transfer RNA, 72 nt
Filed under: Homo sapiens (human)
Lineage: Eukaryota; Metazoa; Chordata; Mammalia; Primates; Hominidae
Description: tRNA-His-GTG-3-1
Source: RNAcentral